Non-coding RNA from Osmia lignaria (orchard mason bee), 1974 nucleotides. The record is from RefSeq and is a predicted model, not a curated record. Lineage: Eukaryota; Metazoa; Arthropoda; Insecta; Hymenoptera; Megachilidae.
CAUUGCAUCCAUUAUAAACAUAGAGAAUUUUUUUUCUUCUUUCAAUUAGUCAUAAUUACUCCAUUACGCUUUCUUAACAUUUUUAUUACUACGUUAAUGAGAUGGAAUGAAUACGAGGUCUUAUUAAAACAUUUAUCCAGUAUUUUUUUGUCUUUGAGAAAGAAUCUAUUUUAAAUAACGACAUUUGUACAGAACAAUUGGAUUAUUCGUAUCAGUUGAUUAAACGAUCACGUUGGGCUACAUUAGUCUUUUCGAUACGAGAUUUCACUAUCAAGCAAGAAAUAUACCUAACUUCAUAUUUUUAUCUUAUGUGUAUUUCUUAUAAAGAACGUCAUCGAGUGAUAAUGUUUCGUAACAACAAAAAAACAAAUUAAAGAGUGUUGCGAUCCAAUGAAUUUUUCAAUAGCCCCUUUUAAACGCUUUCGUGAUAACGUAAGUGAUUAACAAAAGUUAACAGUCUACAACAUAGUACUCGAUGCGCGCAAAGUUCAAUCGGUCAUUUUCACGCAAGCGCACUGUUGAAUCUCGAUCUCGAUCUUGAUAUCGAUAUUCAGUGGUUUGAGUGGUCCUCUCAUAGUUUCGAACAAUGCUACAAUAAAUAAAGUGUCUCUGCAUAAGUCGGUCAUAAGAAUGCGCUUCCAUUUGCUCGAAAUCCGAGAUAAGCGUGCGAUUUCCAUCAACUUCCUCGAAAGGUAUUAAGAAGUAGGACAGCGUGUAUUAGGAACAAGGAAGGACGAGUUCGAAUCAUUACCGCGAACGGUAUCGUGAAGUUACUUGCGCAUGGUGGUAUCCCCCCGAAGUUAUCAACGACAAAAGUACGCACUUACCGUAAAGAGGGUGCAAUAGCAGCAGCUAAUCUUUUCCUUCAAUCUUUCGCUUCAACCUCCACCGUGAAAUAUUCUUUCCUACACAAAUGUUUCACGAACGACAGGUAAGUGGUACGAGUCGCGUUCAUUCAAACGGCCGGUGUCGAUUCGAACGCGAGCUUAUUGCUGCGAAAGCGCGGGCAAAAGUGACGUGGACAUGACCACAUACGAAAAUUCACUAAAAAUACCGUAGAGGGCCUGACAUGCGCGAGAUCCGAACCGCUUACUACAGCCGAUCGAAUACUGCACUCGACACCGCGUGUUCUCUCCCUUUACUACCUCCCUCUAUCAUCGCUUUAUUCCCCUCCCUCCGUCUGAUCGACAACAUCUCGCCCCCUCUCUGCAUUUCUUUUUUUUCUUCUUUCGCAUGACCACUUCUAAUCCCUGCUUUGACACAUUAUUUAACUCGUUAAUUCUUAGAUAGCUCUCCGAUAUAAACAAAAACACAUGCGAGCAUAUAAUUGAUGCUUUUGCACCCGCUUUGCGUACAAGAUUGUCAACAAGUUAUCGUGCGUUCGAUCGGCAACGCUUAAAUGCUGCAACACACGAUGACAUAGCCGCUUUAAGAUCCAAGCAACAAACGUAUCAGUACUAACCAGGUAGCAAAAGAGAACGUUGCAUAUACUUACGUUAACUAUGUAUCCUUAACAUUAGAUGGUUGGACUCACAUCCGUUAAAACAGGUAUGGAACAUAUGGAUUUUUGGAACCCAGGAGCGGGGAGGAGAAGGAAUUAGUAUUUAUUUACAUUUCAUAAUUCUGUUAAAAUCCAACAUAUGUUUUAAAAAAAAUUAUUUAAGUUUUUCUGUAUGUAUAGCAAUAAAAUCGUAAAUGUGUCAAAUUGACUCGCUCCGGCAAUCUAGUAUUAAUAAAGGUAAGGGGAUCAUUACAAUGAGUAAUUCGUAGCAAAGAUUUAUUUGAUUCGUUAUGUUUUUUUACUGGCAUAUUUCUUAACGUGUGAUUUAUGCAAUAUAUGCGAUGAUAACUGAAAACAUGUUGCACAUUCAUUUUUUUUGCACACGUUUGAAGAAAACUUGCUGCGUAACAUAAUUACAAGUUAUAUUGCCAAUUUGCAAAUAAAGCGGUUUGAAAGAUUGGAAUGUGAUUAAA